RNAcentral lists this ribosomal RNA (505 nucleotides) under uncultured bacterium. RNAcentral describes it as "partial 16S ribosomal RNA". It matches the Rfam family "Bacterial small subunit ribosomal RNA", at positions 28 to 507 of the family's 1533-position model. The record is from RNAcentral.
GACGAACGCUGGCGGCGUGCCUAAUACAUGCAAGUAGAACGCACAGUUUAUACCGUAGCUUGCUACACCAUAGACUGUGAGUUGCGAACGGGUGAGUAACGCGUAGGUAACCUGCCUGGUAGCGGGGGAUAACUAUUGGAAACGAUAGCUAAUACCGCAUAAUAUUGAUUAUUGCAUGAUAAUUGAUUGAAAGAUGCUAUUGCAUCACUACCAGAUGGACCUGCGUUGUAUUAGCUAGUAGGUGAGGUAACGGCUCACCUAGGCGACGAUACAUAGCCGACCUGAGAGGGUGAUCGGCCACACUGGGACUGAGACACGGCCCAGACUCCUACGGGAGGCAGCAGUAGGGAAUCUUCGGCAAUGGACGAAAGUCUGACCGAGCAACGCCGCGUGAGUGAAGAAGGUUUUCGGAUCGUAAAGCUCUGUUGUAAGAGAAGAACGGGUGUGAGAGUGGAAAGUUCACACUGUGACGGUAUCUUACCAGAAAGGGACGGCUAACUGCGUG